GUGAGCCCGCGUGGUGCCGGAGCCGAGUGGCCUGGCUGAGCGGCGGCGGAGUGAGUGUACCUGGGCCAGACCGGAGGGAGCCUCCGCCCGCGGCCGUGAGCUCCUCCAGCGUUGUUACUGGAGCGCCUACCGUGUGCCAGGCUCUGUUCUGGGCGCGGGGGACCCCGCGGUCCGCAGGAAGCUUACACUCUAGCGCAGUACAUUGAGGGGGACGGUGCCUUUAGCCUCGUGUCCCCCCCUCCCGGCCGUUCAGCGCUGUAUCUGGCGGCGGGAGCUUAAUGCCUGCAGUGAAGCUUCUCCGUAAGUACAUUUAAUUUUGGCAAAUUCAACUCUUUAUUGGGCCUUUUUAAUGAAUUCAAAUAUAUAAUUAUAUUGUGUAUGUGUAUUAAUUACUGUACGGUUAUAAAUUUUCCUUAUCUAUCAGCCUAUUGUACUUGUUAGUAUAUGUAUGAACUAUUUCAGAGAUUUAUCAAGAAUGGGUUUUCCCACGUUUCUCCUCUUAUUUUAGAACUGGGCGCCCUCUUCUUCCUCCAGCCCUGUGUAAGGCCUCUGUACAAAGUUGUCGCUUGCCACGGAGUGGGCUAGCACUCCCGGUCUUUCACCAUCUUCACGAUCAUUGCUUUUUGUGCAUUUCGUAACUUUUGGUUGAAAAUUACGUGUGCUGGCCAGUGAAGACUGAGGAAAACAGGGACUUCCCAGGCAGAGCUCUGUCCUGGGUAGGUGGGAGAGGGCCAGAGUGAGAGCAGCCUUGAAGAGCGUUCCUGCUGAGCAGGAGAAGCUGGAAGCUGGUCCAGAAAGAAGAUCAGGAUCUGGAGGUGUGAGAAGGGACCAGCAAAGUGCUGGACACAUACAUGCCCACACACCACAGUUCAGUGGGCAGCCCUGAAGCUAGUCUGCUUAUGGGUUGAAGGAAGAAAAGGGCAAGGCACCACUUCUCUUCAUUUCUGCACCCAGUCUCACUAGCUAAAGACUAGUGGGCCAUUAGCUCAGUAACAGAAUGAAUGACCACUAACAAGGAGAAAGACCUACUCUCUUAGUUAUCUAGUGCUGCUAUAACAGAAAUACCACAAGUGGAUGGUUUUAACAGAGAAAUUUAUCGUCUCACAGUCUAGGAGGCUAGAAGUCUGAAUUCAGGGCGCCAUCUCUAGGGGAAGGCCUGCUCUCUCUCUCUCGACUCUGGAGGAAGGUCCUUGCAUCAAUCCUCCUUUGGUCUAGAAGCUUCUCAGCACGGGGACCCCAGGUCCAAAGGACACACUCUGCUCCUGGCACUAUUUUCUUAGUGGUAGGAGGUCCCCCUGUUUCUCUGCUCGCUUCUCUUUUAUAGCUCAAAAGAGAUUGACUCAAGAUACAGUCUAAUCUUGUGGAUGGAGUCCUACCUCAUAAACAUAACUGCCUCUAAUUCUGCCUCUGUAACAUCACACCCAUUGCCGACCAGUCAAUUCCAACUCAUAGAGGUAGGAUUUACAACACAUAGGGAAAAAAUCGCUUCAGAUGACAGAAUGGUAGACAAUCACACAAUACCGGGAAUUACAGCCUAGCCAAGUUGACACAUAUUUUGGGGGACACAAUUCAACCCAUAACACCCACCCAAGUGAGUUAGUGCCAAACUGCCAAACUUCCCUUGUGCCCUACAACCUUAGGCCCCAGGUUGAGGCCCCCCAAUACUCCCCACCCCAAAUUGCCCUUGGGCCAGGAUGUGACAGGAGCACAGAGAAGUGGCUGCGAAAUGCUCUGCUGCCUGUCUUUGUCCCCAGGGUCUUUGCUGUGGAGGAGAGAAGGGCCUCUGCCUCCAAGCCAGAAAUGUAAAGGGAGAAGGAAGGGCUUUCCUCAACUAGAAGGUUUCCACGAGGAGUGAGGUAGGAUGAAGAGAGGCCUCUAAUUCUGCAAGACUGAGGUCUGUGCCCCGCUUCCCGGCAGCACCCCAGGAAAGUGGUUACCUCAGCAAGGAUGGCUGCCUGGGAGUCUGGGUGGCCACACAUCACCUCAGUGCCCAGCUGGGAGGGAAGUCCCAGUAGCACCAUGUCCUGUGAACUCCUGAGCAGAGGUCAGAGGCCUUUGGCCCCAGGAAGAGCCCUGAAGGUGAGUCCCCAGGUUGUCUCCUUCCCACUAAAAAACCAACCCACUAGCCUGGCAGAAUCAGGGGCUGAGACAGAAACUGGGUUCUGGAGAACAAGGUUCGUCCUCUGUCUUGCUCUCAGAGUUUGAGGCCUGAGAGACUAAGUACCAGCCAGGUGUGGAACCAGGUUAGGGAACUCUCCAGCAAGCAUUUUCCCACAACAUUAAAACGAUUUUCUUCAUCCAAAAGUAAAGCAAGGAGGAGCCUGUCAAUGAAAGAGACUUAAUGGGCAUAUUAAAAACAAAACAAGAAGCACAUGAAAAAAGGCUUAUCAUUAUUAGUUACUUUUUUUGUUGUUGUUGUCGUUAGGUGCCAUCGAGUAGAUUCUGAAUCAUUGCAACACCAUGUGACAGAGUAGAACUGCCCCAUAGAGUUUUCUAGGCUGUAGUCUUUGUAAGAGCAAACUGCCAGGUCUUUCUCCUACAGAGCCACUGGGUGGGUUCAAACCACCAACCUUUAGGUUACCAACCUUGGGCUUAACCAUUUAGCCACGAGGGCUCCUCUACUAGUUGUUAAGGAAAUGUAAAUUAAAACCACAAUGCUAUACCGCUAUAGUGUUUCAUUCUGUUGUACAUAGAUAGGGUUCUAUGAGUCAGAAUUGACUCGACGGCACCUAACAAUCGCAACGUACCACCACACAACUAUUAGAACGACAGGGAUGCACAGCAACUGGGAUUGUCACACCUUGUUGGGGGGGGGCAUGCAAACUGGUACACUCCCUUUGGAAAAUAGUUUGGCAGCUUCCUAUGAAGUUAAAUAUACUUACCAUAUGACCCAUCCACACCACUAGGUAUUUACCCAAGUGAAACGAAAACUUAUGCUUACCUUAAAAACCUGUAUAUGAAUGUUUAUAGUGACUUUGUUCAUAAUCACCAAAUAUGGAAAACCACCGAAAUGCUCCUUAGUGGGGAAUGGAUUAAAAAACUGAGGAAUGCCCAUAUACUGGAAUACUACUCAGCAAUAAAAAGGAACUAACCAUUGACAGACACAUUAUGGAUGAAUCAGAGAUGCAUUCUGCUAAAUGAAAGAAGCCAGACUCAAAAGGCUGCACACAGUCUAAGACCAUUUACGUGACUUUCUGGAAAAGGCAAAACUACAAAGACAGAAAACAAAUCAGUGGUGGCCAGGGGCUGCGUAUGGGAAGAGGCUGACUACAAAGGGCCACGGGGAAUUUUGGGGAAUGAUGGAACUGUUGUAUACUUUGGUUGUAGUUGUGAUUACAAAAAUGAAUUUCACAAUAAAAAUAGUAAAUCAUACCUGUAUGAAAUUAUACCUUAACAGAAAAAAAAAAAAAAGCAAAACUAUGUAUAGUAUCUAGGAAUGCAUACUAGCUGUCAUCAAGUCAGCUCCAACUCACGGAGACCCCAUGUGUGUCAGAGUAGAACUGUGCUCCAUAAGGUUUUUAGUGGUUCAUUUUUCAGAAGUAGAUUGCCAGGCCUUUCUUCCAAGCUGCCUCUGGGUGGGCUCAAACCUCCAAACCUGGUUAGCAAUUAACCUUUUGCACCACUCAGAGACUCUAGGAAUGCAUGCAUGUGUGCUAAAAUUAUUUUUUUAAACCAGGAAAUAAUUAAAUUCCCGAGAGCAUGGCCACUGGAUACCCUUUUAGCUCAGUAAUAAAGUCACUUCCGAGGUUCACCCUUCAGCCAAAGAUUAGACAGGCCUAUAAAACAAAACAAGACUAAAAGGGCACGCCAGCCCAGGAGCAAAAACGAGAAGGCAGGAGGGAACAGGAAAGCUGGUAAUAGGGAACCCAAGGUCAAGAAUAGAGAGUGUUGCCAAGUCGUGGUGUUUUUAACCAAUGUCAUAAAACAAUAUGUGUACUGUUUAAUGAGAAGCUACUUUGUUCUGUAAAUCUUCAUCUGAAGUUCAAUAAAAAAAAAAAAAAUACCAUGAAAGUCAGGGUAGUAGUUAAUUUUAAGGGGUGGGUAGCUUUAUGAUUGGGACAUGGAGGGUUCCUGGGGAGACCAGCAAAAAUCUCUUUCUCUACCUGAGUGUUGGCUACAGAGGUGUUUGCCUCCUAAUAAUUCACUAAGCUAUCCAUUUUUAGUAUGUAGUUUUCUGUAUCUCUGCUAUAUUUAAAACAAAGAUAGUUGAAGAGAAUUUAUGGACGGAAUUAUUUUUAGGUUUUUUAAAUGGGAAAAUGGUAUUGUGGUUAUGUUUUUUAAAAGAGUCCUUGCCUUUUAGAGACGCAGAUUGAAAUAUUUAUAGGUGGGAUGGUGUGCUGCCUGGAAUUUGCUUCAGAAUAAUACAGGAGGAGGACCAGGUACCGUAGAGAUGAGCAGAACUGGCCAUGAAUUUAUUACAGCUGAAGCUGGGGGGUGGCCACAGGGUUAGACUCUUCUGUCUACUGGUGUGUGUGUUUACAUUUUCUACAAAGAGGAAGUCCGGGGGCGGGGGGAAGAAUCAACAGUUGCAGUACGUGUCUAGCUCUACACCACGAAGCUCAGGAGAUAUGCCAGAUGGAGAGAGAGGUCUGACUGCCCUUAGGAAAAUGUUUUAAAAAAAAAAAACCAGGAGCUUUCAGAGUAGACUGGUCCUAAAGUGCUGCCUGAAAAAAGAGCUUAAAUUCCCCCGAAGUAUAUACCCUCAGCCUCCUUCCCAAGUUAUUACCAGUAUACUCCAGUCCUCUGUGGGGCAGCUGCUCAGCCUCAUAUUGGGGUUUAAUGCGUUCUGUCACCAAGUGCUGGAAUUGAUGCAUCAAUCUUCCUCCUGCGGAACUUACUAUUUUUUUUUCCUUUACUUACAGUGAUUAUUUCAUUGAUAAUAAUCAUACCCAAAAAUUAUUUCACUCAGGUAUAGAAACAUGCCAACAACAGGUAUAGAGAAAGCAAAACUGACCAGAUUAUUUAUGCUUCC
Molecule: long non-coding RNA, 4972 nt
Organism: Loxodonta africana (African savanna elephant)
Lineage: Eukaryota; Metazoa; Chordata; Mammalia; Proboscidea; Elephantidae
Exons: 3
Source: RefSeq, a predicted model, not a curated record